AGACCCUGCUUUUACCUUCAGAGCAGACAGCUCCUUGCUUUUGGCCAGAAGCCAUGGUGAUAAGGGACAGAGUUUUGCAGAAGGUAAGCCGUGAGCUCUGGAAACCACAUUGUGGUGGAUGUGAAGCAGAACUGGGAAGGGGAAGACCCUUGCACUGCUCCUACAGACUGGUCUGUGCACUCACGUGUGGAGAGGAAGAGGCUGAAUUUUCCUGCAGGAGCCUGAAUCACCAUGAGGGGCUUGCUGUCCCAUGGAAAUUUGGAAAGAGCAUCUACGGGGUCUGGGAAAAACACAGACAGAAAAACACUGGUCUGAGCUCACGAGCUCACAUGACCAAAACCCUCCAGCAAUGUCCAUGCUCACAUGCCCUCCUGGAGAAGGGAGACCUGUGGAGAUACAGGAGCUUGCAGGGACUAUUCAGGGGUUUGAUCACCUGCUUCUUGGCCCCACCAGCUCCCUUGCGCCCAAUCCCCUCGAGACAUCUCUUGUUGUUUCCCCUUGCUCCCUCAGCACCCUGCUGCAGACCUUGGGGCAACGUCAGGUAUGUUCCUGCCCUGUUUUUGUGACUGGGGCUGGAGGGCUCAGUCCUGCAAGA
Molecule: long non-coding RNA, 595 nt
Organism: Chiroxiphia lanceolata (lance-tailed manakin)
Lineage: Eukaryota; Metazoa; Chordata; Aves; Passeriformes; Pipridae
Exons: 3
Source: RefSeq, a predicted model, not a curated record